RNAcentral lists this ribosomal RNA (503 nucleotides) under uncultured bacterium. RNAcentral describes it as "partial 16S ribosomal RNA". It matches the Rfam family "Bacterial small subunit ribosomal RNA", at positions 30 to 523 of the family's 1533-position model. The record is from RNAcentral.
AUUGAACGCUGGCGGCAGGCUUAACACAUGCAAGUCGAGCGGGGUGAUGGUGCUUGCACUAUCACUUAGCGGCGGACGGGUGAGUAAUGCUUAGGAAUCUGCCUAUUAGUGGGGGACAACAUCUCGAAAGGGAUGCUAAUACCGCAUACGUCCUACGGGAGAAAGCAGGGGAUCACUUGUGACCUUGCGCUAAUAGAUGAGCCUAAGUCGGAGUAGCUAGUGGGUGGGGUAAAGGCCUACCAAGGCGACGAUCUGUAGCGGGUCUGAGAGGAUGUACCGCCACACUGGGACUGGGACACGGCCCAGACUCCUACGGGAGGGAGCAGUGGGGAAUAUUGGACAAUGGGGGGAACCCUGAUCCAGCCAUGCCGCGUGUGUGAAGAAGGCCUUAUGGUUGUAAAGCACUUUAAGCGAGGAGGAGGCUCUUUUGGUUAAUACCCAAGAUGAGUGGACGUUACUCGCAGAAUAAGCACCGGCUAACUCUGUGCCAGCCGCCGCGGUAA